This is a long non-coding RNA of Papaver somniferum (opium poppy), 2375 nucleotides long. RefSeq lists it as uncharacterized. NCBI's taxonomy places the organism in Eukaryota, Viridiplantae, Streptophyta, Magnoliopsida, Ranunculales, Papaveraceae. The record is from RefSeq and is a predicted model, not a curated record. The transcript has 7 exons.
AUUAUCCCAAAAGAAAAAAAAAUAAAAACAAAACGAAAACAAAGAAAAAGAAAAACAUUAGGGGUUGCUUCUUCUUCGUCAUAAACUGAGAAAAGGGUUAUUGAGAACGGUGAUUUCCUAACCCACGUUGAACGGUGAUUUCGUAAUCCACCAGUUAUGCCAUAGACAAAAGAGUUGAUGUUCUUAUGGAUGAUAUUUCGAUCGGUGUUUGGUGAUUUAGGGUUUAAGAAGAAAUUGAUGAUGAAACUUAAGGGGGAAUCGGAGGUGAAAUUGAUAAGGGUUAUUGAGAACUGAGAUUGAUGAUUAAGUUAAGACAAUUGAAGAAUUUCAGAAACUAGGGUUUGGUUUUGGGAAGAGCAGCUAAGACUGAUUCUUAUUUGUUUCCUAUCCCUAAUCUUCAAACGACGUCAACAAAUCAACAUGUGCAAUAGCAUCAUCCUUCUGAGAUUUUCUGAUUUCCCGUUGAUUUCCUGAAAAUUUAAGUUAUAAAAAUCAAGUCUUUACUUAUUUAGCUGUUUGUUGAUCUUUCCUCUUUUUUGUUCAUUCAAAAAUUAAGGAUGAUUUUUUGGGUUUGAGUAAAAAUUAGGGAAAUCUUUAUUUUAUUUUUUUUGGUUGAUUAUCUUUAAUUUUUCUGAACUUUUUCAUUUGCAGGGUGAUAGAAAUUUGUAAGCUCUAUAAUGAAAAGAGGGUUUUGUUUAUGUCCUUGGAAUUCGGUUCUGUGCUCAAUUAUAUGAUAGGAAUCUGGAGAAGGGAGUUCUGUACUCCAGAUUUAAGGUGAUAAUUGUCUGUGAUGCUCUUGCACAAUCUGGAGAAGGGAGCUCACAUGCAUCAUUGUGGUAACAUUCAGCGUGAUUCUGGAAGACCUUCCACUCCUAGAAAAGACCUACAGAUUUGGGCACCAUUAACUUAUAUGGGUUUUCUUUUAGUAUCUAUAUCUAUCAUUCUCGAAUCCUUGGCAGGUGAUGGUGGUACGCUACGAACUUGCCUUAAGGAUGGGGUAGAUAUGCCCAGUUCAGUUUAGCAGAGGUUUGUAAUCGAAUUGAUCCAGUGAAGCAAUUAGGUAUUAGUAUUUUGACACUUUCUGUUUCAUACACUUGAGCAAGCCAAGUUCUUAACCUGCUCUAAUUUCCGAUGGAAUCAAUCAUGUGCAUCGAGACUGAUAUGCACUACAAUUCUUGAAAAAAUGCUCCAUAUGGGUUCCAAAGCAGUCUCCAUGGGUUGGUUUUGAUACAGCAACCUAUACAAGGUAUCCACUUCAUAUAUAUUUUCUUUUAAGUAUACAUGUUCCUUCAGGAGAUCGACAUACAAAUCAUGCAAACAAACUAAUCAAUGAUGGAUUAGGGGUUCUUGAAGUAGCGAUAUGAAGAUUAACAACGGUUUGUUCCAAUCGAAAAGUAUCUCAAAGAAUUCCCAAGGUUCUGCAAAUUCAUCGCAUUAUGCAGAUAUGUUAAGUGGGGACUAUUCAAUGAUGCAUUCUAAGAACAUAAACUCAAAUAAUGCAAAUCACAGCUGUGUUUAAGUAAUCAAAUAGCGCAUGUAGAAAAAAAUUAGUCAUUGUUUGGAUAAAUAUUAAUAUUGUAAUUGAUCUCAAAAUGUCUACAUAUGCUUCUGCAGGUACCUGACAAAGUGGCAAGUUGGUUCGUCAUGGAUUUUUCUUCCACAAUCCCAUUUGAGACUUUAAGAUUCAUGUUUACAGGAAGCAGCAAUAUGUAUAUCUCCAAUUACAUAUUGGGUUUGCUCAAAUUUUGAAGCCUAAGAAAUCUCAAACAACUUUUCACAAGGUUUGUGAACUGCUGCCUAAAGGUAAUUUGUUCCCACUGGCCAAUUAGGUCAGAGUCAACGUCCACAUCGAAUAUGGAUAAGGCACACCUUUGGCAGGUCAUAAGCCUUCCACCUGAGCAGAGGCAUCAAGCACUUCUGUAUUAGCAAACUGGUAUAUCGAUCUGUUGUCUAUCCAGAGGAACAAACAAUGAAGUGCAUACAAAGAUCAAGAAAGAAAUGAAGUCGUUGGUGGUAGUACUGAGUUAUUGGAUUCUGAAGGCCAUGUCAGUGGGAUUACGAUGAUCACUUUCAGUUGGUAUAAGUAGUUGCAUGAUAUUUUAAAAUUUUAGUUCAUUGCACAUUGACUGAUUCCCUUUAGUUUGAGAUGUAAAUUCCAAUUUGGCAGGAAGUUAAAAUUACCAAUUCUAAGGCUAGACUAUCGGAUUGACUGCACAGACAAAAAAUCUUCCACUUAAUAUUUUGAGUAAACAUAGUUGCCAGGGACGAAACUACAGCCCAGCAUGGGAUGGCUUAAGCCACCCUCAAACAAAUUCUUUUGGUUAAUAUGGUGAAGCCAGCCCAUAUAUUUUUGAGUAUGAAUUUUGUUUCUUGAA